This 72-nucleotide transfer RNA is filed under the name Actinomycetota bacterium. RNAcentral describes it as "tRNA-Gln". It matches the Rfam family "tRNA". Rfam says of the family: Transfer RNA (tRNA) molecules are approximately 80 nucleotides in length. Their secondary structure includes four short double-helical elements and three loops (D, anti-codon, and T loops). Lineage: Bacteria; Bacillati; Actinomycetota. The record is from RNAcentral.
UCCGCCUUGGUGUAAUUGGCAGCACCCUGUCUUUUGGUGUCAGUGGUCCAGGUUCGAGUCCUGGGGGCGGAG